Molecule: ribosomal RNA, 460 nt
Filed under: uncultured bacterium
Lineage: Bacteria
Description: partial 16S ribosomal RNA
Rfam family: Bacterial small subunit ribosomal RNA
Source: RNAcentral
CCUACGGGUGGCAGCAGUGAGGAAUAUUGGUCAAUGGCCGCAAGUCUGAACCAGCCAAGUAGCGUGCAGGAAGACGGCCCUAUGAGUUGUAAACUGCUUUUGUACGAGGGUAAACGCAGAUACGCGUAUCUGUUUGAAAGUAUCGUAUGAAUAAGGAUCGGCUAACUCCGUGCCAGCAGCCGCGGUAAUACGGAGGAUCCUAGCGUUAUCCGGAUUUAUUGGGUUUAAAGGGUGCGUAGGCGGGUGGUUACGUUAGAUGUGAAAGUCUGAGGCUCAACUGUGAAAUUGCCUGUGAUACUGGCAGCCUUGAGUGUAGGUGCGGUAGGCGGAAUGCGUGGUGUAGCGGUGAAAUGCUUAGAUAUCAUGAAGAACUCCGAUUGCGAAGGCAGCUUACUAAACUACUACUGACGUUGAGGCUCGAAAGCGUGGGUAGCAAACAGGAUUAGAUACCCUAGUAGUC